UGGGGAAUCUUGGACAAUGGGGGCAACCCUGAUCCAGCCAUGCCGCGUGAGUGAUGAAGGCCUUAGGGUCGUAAAGCUCUUUCGCCUGUGAAGAUAAUGACGGUAGCAGGUAAAGAAACCCCGGCUAACUCCGUGCCAGCAGCCGCGGUAAUACGGAGGGGGUUAGCGUUGUUCGGAAUUACUGGGCGUAAAGCGCACGUAGGCGGACCAGAAAGUUGGGGGUGAAAUCCCGGGGGCUCAACCCCGGAACUGCCUCCAAAACUAUUGGUCUAGAGUUCGAGAGAGGUGAGUGGAAUUCCAAGUGUAGAGGUGAAAUUCGUAGAUAUUUGGAGGAACACCAGUGGCGAAGGCGGCUCACUGGCUCGAUACUGACGCUGAGGUGCGAAAGUGUGGGGAGCAAACAGGAUUAGAUACCCUGGUAGUCCACACCGUAAAACGAUGAAUGCCAGUCGUCGGGUAGCAUGCUAUUCGGUGACACACCUAACGGAUUAAGCAUUCCGGCCUGGGGAGUACGGUCGCAAGAUUAAAACCUCAAAGG
RNAcentral lists this ribosomal RNA (538 nucleotides) under uncultured bacterium. RNAcentral's name for it is "bacterial SSU rRNA". It matches the Rfam family "Bacterial small subunit ribosomal RNA", at positions 355 to 907 of the family's 1533-position model. The record is from RNAcentral.